This 619-nucleotide small RNA is filed under the name Schizosaccharomyces pombe (fission yeast). RNAcentral describes it as "small heterochromatic RNA precursor". Lineage: Eukaryota; Fungi; Ascomycota; Schizosaccharomycetes; Schizosaccharomycetales; Schizosaccharomycetaceae. The record is from RNAcentral.
UUUUUUUUUUUUUUUUAAAGCUUCACUACCAUCGAAAUAUAUAUAACAGNAGUAAAAUUGUAAACUUUUAUUUUUAUACCAUAGUAGUAUGGCUAUGAUUGGAAGGUUGUAGUGUCAGNCAAGUUGGAAAAACUGUUGGCACUUUUUUUCUGAAUCAAUGGAAUUCUUAUCAAACACAUGCAAACGUAUAAAGAAGACUUGAAUAGAUAAUCUUUGAAUUCAAACAAAUCCUAGGCAACUGAACAACGCAUCUACCUCAGCAGUCCUUGGGAAAUGGNAUAAAUAGGCAAGCAUUAAACUUUUAUAUAUAAAACCAUCAAGAUCUCUAUUUUUAACUCGGUGGNUUCUUUCACAAGACUUACUUCAAGAACGACAACACAUCCUGACAGUUAAUUCAUUAAUACUAAUACUAUCGAGGAUUCUGUCAUCCAAGNGGAAUGAACAUGGGCAUCAAAGGAAUGUUUCCUCCAAGUGAGAACUAUAGNGUUGCNAGAGCGGAAUACUUGGUCGCUUAGAACAAAACCGAAUUACUGGCCUUAGGGAUAUGGCUCCAAAGUGNGGCGCUAUAUCUGGGAUCUAUUGCUACGUCAUUCAUUGGUNCAACCCNUAUNGGGNAUAA